RNAcentral lists this long non-coding RNA (4871 nucleotides) under Sus scrofa (pig). RNAcentral's name for it is "lncRNA (ENSSSCG00000056040.1)". Lineage: Eukaryota; Metazoa; Chordata; Mammalia; Artiodactyla; Suidae. The record is from RNAcentral.
UCUGUUCACUCAGAGCCAUACUAGUUUUUAUGAAUGAGGAGUUCACUUUUUUUUUCUUUCCUUUGCCAAUAGCAUUACUAUGAGAAUACACAUCUUUUUCACUUUUUUAUUCAACAAGUAUUUGGAACCUACUUUGGGCUAUGAAAAGGAAGGCAAUCAUGGCUUUAAAUUUGAUUAGAUAAUAGAAAAGAAAAAUGCUUUAAAACUGGGAAAUAUUAGUAAGUUAUUAAUAAUUUAGUCAUAUGUAAAUUUAGUUAGUCCUAAAGAUUCUGGAAAACCCUUGAAAAAAGCUAGUCUUACACAAAGUUUUAAAAUUGAAUGAUUUCAACUGAUGGAGAUGAAUCAGAACAACUUUCAGGGCAAAGUGAACCAGUACUAGAUUUUAAAAUGGAGAUCAAUAAAACAUAUGAAGCAAUUCCUGGUAUGUAAAGGGUUGGAUAAGCUUACUGGAAUAAUAUAGAAUGAAAAAGACUAGUGGAUUUGAUCACUUGGAUUGAUUAGAUUGACUAGGUUACUGGAGUUGAAUUUAUUGGGUUUAAUUUAAAAAUGCAGGAAGAGCCUUUUCUCGGAAAUAAUGAGAAUAAGAUGAUUGACAACAUUUAAACACUUUGAUUCAAAUAUAAGCAAACAUUUAUUAAGCCAUUCUAGCAAGUGCUAUUAACUUUAUAAUUCUAAUUGAAAAAAAUUAUCUUAAGUGUCUCUUUUAGGAUGAACUUGAAGAGGAAUAGAUUGAUAUGACAAAGAUCAACAAGAAUGUCAUUGAGUUCAUUGAGUUAUUCCAUAUUUUUUUCUUUUUUUUGGUGCACCCACAGCAUAUGGAAGUUCCGGGGCCAAGGACUGAAUCAGAGCCACAGCUGCAGCAAUGCUGGAUUCUUAACCCACUGCACUGAGCCAGGGAUCAAAGUGGCAAUGCCACUGAGAAAAGCCAGAUCAUUAACCCACUGUACCACAGUGGGAACUAUGAUAGAGAACAUAAAAAAUAACAGUGCAGUGAGUUCCCAAAUAGACCAUAGCCCAAAUGUCUAGAUAGUUGCUCUUCUUCCUUCCGACUCCAUUCCUACUUCUAUCCAUUAAUUUGCAAAGGGUAUUGAAGACUUUUUAGAAAAGAACUCACAAUAGUUUGCUCUCGCAGUUAAAAUAUAAAGAGGAUAGAAGAUCUAAGAAAUCCUAACAAGUAAUACUCUAGGUUUUCUGGGAGACAAUUUAUUUUGUACAAAAAAAAGCCUUAGGCAUGGUGCAUUGGACUGAAAUACAUCUGAAGACAUUUAUAGUUUAUAGUGUAGCCUGGAAGUUGCUACUGAACUCAACUCAAAAUCAGCUAUCCUGUGGUGUAUGUAUUAGAAAAAUUAGCAAGCAGGACUAAAAGAGGUGUUUGGGUAAAUUUUGCAAUAUCUUGGUGCCCAAUACUGCUCCUUAGAAACAAUGAAGGGGACCAAUUUCCUAGACCUUAAUAUACUGUAAAGACAGGCAACCCUGUGGAGGCAAGACAGAGAAAACAGCAACCAAAUGAGGCAUCAAGCAAUAAUCCAGGGUGAUGGGACAAUAAAGUCAACGGCAGUUUCGGGGAGCUUCAAGAAUUUGCUAGACAAUGCUGGGACUCUCCUAAAGUUAUAGCAAGGGAAGGAAAGUUCCACAGAAAUCUGAAGGUCUACAGUUAUAUAUACUAGCAUUAGGGACUAUCAAAACAGCAAGAUUCUGAUGAACAAUGAGCUGUCAACAAGGUGAAUAAGUGAUGAAUAAACUGCAGUUGUAAAAAAAUCCCGAUCCCUUCAUCUCUCAGGGUAGACAGAGCCUGGGCAGCCAGAGCCCCAUCUUCUACCCCAGUCUCAGACAAAUACUUUCAUCUCUGGCUGCUUCAGGUCGAUGCAUUGCUUGCAGCCAAGGAGGUGCUCUGUCACCUGGCCAGAUGGGAGCCAGGCAACAAGCCUAUGGAGUUGCUGGAGGUGUGUCCUAAGAACCAAGAAGAAAAUCUGAGCCAAAGUAUAGGGGAGUUCAGGGCUGUGUGGAGAUUGAGAAUACGAGGCAGGGCCAAAGUCUGGUAAGGGUAGCUCCACACAAAUAGCAGGGUAUCUCUCUUCAUAGAUGUGGGAUAAUGCUCUCUGUGGAUGAUGUGACCUUCACUAGUGAUAUACAAGCAAUGGCAGGGUGAUGCCUCUACCAACGUGUGCAUGUUCUAGAAGUGAGAAUAUCAUCAACACUUUGAAGUGCUUAAUAUGAAAAACUCCAUUGCAUUCACAAUCUGCUCACAUUUCCCCAAGAAAUUUCCAUAUUUCACUUGCUAAUAAAAGAAAAAGCUGUAACUUUGUUUAAAAAUAAUUCCAAAUCUUGUGCAUUCUUGCAUAGUUGUGAAAAAACUUUAUCACUGUCUGUUGGAACUCUCUAGAUGAAAGGGGAGAAUUUAACUGCUUUACUCAACAUGUAUUUAUUGAGCAUCUACUAUACACCAAGCAGUAUUCUAGGUGCUGGGGAUUCAGUCAUGAAGAAAUGGAACAAACAUUUAUGCCAUCUUGGGAUAGGUCAACAAUGAACAAGUAGAGAGGGUAUGUAUGUGUUUGAAAAUGAUAACUGCUAAUGAGAAAAAUAAAUCAGGGAAGGUGAUGGGGUUUCCACUUUAAAACAGGAUUAUCAGGAAACGCCUUACAAAAAGGUGAUAUUUGAGUCCAGAUGUCAGUCUAGAUCUAAUCAGGAAUGGUAGGUCCUCUUUAAAUGUAAAACAUGAUUUUAAAAAGCUAUUUUCAGGUAAAUAAGCUCAAGUUCUUUUUAAAUUUCGAAAAGAAAUUCAAAAAUAUAAUCAGAAAAUGUUAUACCAAUACAGUGUUUAAUCUUUUCUAAAUUUCUGAUUGUUCUUAUAGUAACAUUAUACAAAGAAAUUCAAAGGUCUCACAGACACAGGUCCUCUAAGAUUGAGUUUCCAUGGUGAAGUGGAGGACAGAGGUAACAUAUGGGUAUUUUGAAUUGCUGUCAUUCUUUGAUUAUAAAGAUGCUUAUCUUUAGAGAUGAUUUCUGUUUGUUUUGCAACCUGAAUUUUUCAAGUAUUCUCUCUGGAGACAGAAAGAAGCAAGGUCACAGAUUCACGUUACUGUGAGGCUUACAUGAAAUAGUAACCGAAAUAUUUCUCUCCUGAACUGCCCACUCCUUAAGGUCAGAAACUUUGUUUUAUUUGUCUUUAUAUUCCCACACUGGCUACAUCUGACAUGUGAGAACCAUUAAUCAGCAUUUGUUAUUGAAUUAACUUUGUUUUAAAUAUUUCCCCAUCCUUCUAAAAGUAAUGAAUGUUCAUUGCAGGCUUUUGUAGAAAAGUAGAAAGAGGGAAAAUUGCCUGUUAGUGACAUUCAGUGAAGCCAGGACCAGGAGAUCAGCUGCAAGCGAAAUGCCAGGCAGAAUCCAUAAGGAUCAGAGGAAGCACUGAUCUUAUUUCCCACUCUGGCCUCCAGAAAAGAGAACCCAGCCACAGAGGAGAGGACAGAAUAGUCUGCCUAUGCCAUUGCCUGCCGCUCCGCUUAUGCCUCAAGGCUCCCUUUGGGUGUCUCUCUGUUGCUGCAGCUCUCCGCAGCCAUCCACCCAUCCUAAAGACCAAGCCCAGCUUUGCAGGACUCCCUUCCAAGCAGCAGCUUGAAUUCAAUGAGACCCAAGUGCUUCCUCUGUCCAAGGUACUGGUAGGUCCACAAGCCCUCCAUCUCAGUCCUUUUUCCCUGGGUUUAUCACUAAAUAUAAAAAGCUCCUGUCGUCUAACUACUCACAAUACCCUCACCACACCCAGAUCACCCUGCACUUCCUCUGCCCCAGCUUUCUGCCUCUCUUUUCCCAUCCAUUCCAUUGCUUAGCUGAAGAAUGGAAAGGUGAUUGACACACUGCUCUGUAUCUUCUAUCUUCACUUAGUGUUGUCCAGCUUACCUGAAACCCAAAUCUCCCCUGAGGAUAAGCCUCUUAGCAGGAGCUGGCCAAUCAUAGCACAUCUCAUGUACUACAGAGACCAGAGAAAAGAAGCAUACCCAUUUCGUUCUCCAGUGUCACUUCCAACAAUUGCAUUCCCACCUGUCUAUAACGCCCCCCUCCUCACACACCAUCCAUCUCUCUCUAUUACUGUUGCCUACCAUCCACUGGUCUCUCCUCCAUUUAUGAAAAAUUUGAUUACCAAAUUCAUAGUUUUCCUUUCCAUAUCCUGACUGAAUGCGAUGCCCACUAUGAGGGCAAUUCAGCCAAUAUUCUAGCCUCUUACCUCUAUGUCAUCUUUGACCAUCAAUGCUACUUCACAGGCUUUAUUACUUCCCAUAUUCCCACAGACAUACUUUUGAAAUGUGUCAUCACCAGAAAAUAAACUUACUAAUUCAGAUGUCCUGAUCAUUUAUCCCAAUUGCCUAUUCUUCAAGGAAGUUUGCCCAGUUACUCUCACAACUGAUCUACAAUUUCAUAGGUAGGACCAAUCCAGAAUUUCAACCAUUCUCUUUCUGAAUGGUUUUGCCCCAUGUUUCUUUCAUCCCUCCCAUCUGGCAAAACCUCAACCUAGAAUUAAUCCAUGUGUCUGCCUUCUCCAGUUCUGCACCCAGUAACAUGCCAAUAUCAGAAGAAGAAAUAUUUAGAGGAGAGUGACUAGGCAGGUCUGUAGAGCACAGGUAUAAGCUUCAAAGCUUUCCCUAAUGAAUUUACUAGCUAAACUAAAGGGGAAAAAAAAGACUCCUUUAUUCUCUACGUACUUAUUAAAAAAUGUGGAUAACUGUAACCAGCACUAGCUAAAAUUUCAAGUAGCAGGUAAAAUUUCACUUUGUCCCAUCCAAAACAUAGCCGAUUAGGAAAUUAUCAAAAAUGAUUAGCCUGAUUAAGGCUGAAGGCCAAGAAAUCCUGUGAAGAUAAUUAUAAAACCACUUCACUGG